Molecule: small nucleolar RNA, 134 nt
Organism: Heterocephalus glaber (naked mole-rat)
Lineage: Eukaryota; Metazoa; Chordata; Mammalia; Rodentia; Bathyergidae
Gene: SNORA70
Rfam family: Small nucleolar RNA SNORA70
About the family: snoRNA U70 seems to be exclusive to mammals and is a member of the H/ACA class of snoRNA which contain H (ANANNA) and ACA box motifs. H/ACA box snoRNAs are involved in the conversion of uridines to pseudouridines (5-ribosyluracil) a constituent of structural RNAs (transfer, ribosomal, small nuclear, and small nucleolar).
Source: Ensembl
CUGCAGUUGAGGAAGUAACUGGGUUCCUUUGCUCGUGGGUGCCCAGUAUGCAGUGGCUGGGAACAGCAACCUCUUUGGUAGUGUAGGAAGCCUCUUGCUGGUGUGGGUAGCCCCAGGGGACCCUGGAGGCACUG